RNAcentral lists this ribosomal RNA (461 nucleotides) under Rothia dentocariosa. RNAcentral describes it as "bacterial SSU rRNA". It matches the Rfam family "Bacterial small subunit ribosomal RNA", at positions 28 to 497 of the family's 1533-position model. The record is from RNAcentral. Lineage: Bacteria; Bacillati; Actinomycetota; Actinomycetes; Micrococcales; Micrococcaceae.
GACGAACGCUGGCGGCGUGCUUAACACAUGCAAGUCGAACGAUGAAGCCUAGCUUGCUAGGUGGAUUAGUGGCGAACGGGUGAGUAAUACGUGAGUGACCUACCUUUGACUCUGGGAUAAGCCUGGGAAACUGGGUCUAAUACCGGAUACGACCAAUCUCCGCAUGGGGUGUUGGUGGAAAGCGUUAUGGAGUGGUUUUAGAUGGGCUCACGGCCUAUCAGCUUGUUGGUGAGGUAAUGGCUUACCAAGGCGACGACGGGUAGCCGGCCUGAGAGGGUGACCGGCCACACUGGGACUGAGACACGGCCCAGACUCCUACGGGAGGCAGCAGUGGGGAAUAUUGCACAAUGGGCGCAAGCCUGAUGCAGCGACGCCGCGUGAGGGAUGACGGCCUUCGGGUUGUAAACCUCUGUUAGCAUCGAAGAAGCGAAAGUGACGGUAGGUGCAGAGAAAGCGCCGGC